Cyanistes caeruleus (blue tit) is the source of this 893-nucleotide non-coding RNA. NCBI's taxonomy places the organism in Eukaryota, Metazoa, Chordata, Aves, Passeriformes, Paridae. The record is from RefSeq and is a predicted model, not a curated record.
GCCGCCGUUCGCGGGUUUGCGGAGCACCGGCGGCGCCGGGUCCGCUGCGGGAGGGCGGCGGUGCGGGCUCUUGUGCACGCCGGCCCUUCCUUCCGUGCGCCUGCUUUCCUGCCUUUUUAUGGCAUCGGUUGGUUGGGUGGUUGGGGUUUUUGUUGUCUUAUUUUUUUCCAGGCAGGAAGAGCGUUUUGUUCGGCUAAAGCGGCCGAAUGGAGCCGUGGUUGUGUUACGGCAUCGUGUCUCCAGGAGGAAACGGGCGCUGAUGGAUCGGGAAGGGAAGGAACGCGCUCGGAGUGUUCAGAGCGGUGCCUUUUGUUGGCGCCUUUCUAAAAUUAAACUGUUGGUGGAAAAAUAAUCUUUGUUACAGAUCCAACUUUCCACUAUUCCAGCGGAAGCUCGGAAAAAGAGCAGGACCCUGGUACUUGGUGCUGACUUUUACCCUUCUUUGCUCUACUCUUCAAUGUAUACUUUUUGUAUCCUUCCGUUGAAGGAACCCAUUUUUCUCCUGUAACUAAUUUUUGCAGGCAUGGCUUUAUCAGCUAGCCGAAUUUUUCCUUUCCUUAGUACUUGCACCUCAUCUCAUGUUUACUUAUAUAUUGAAAUUUCUCUUUCUAAUACUAAUAUUUUUCUUUAUUUUGAUACCUGUCGAUGACUUGUUGACUGACUUUCAGAAAUGGUGAGGUCUCUCUCAUAGAAGAGAAUGCUCUCUGAAUAUAGUGUAUCUUUGUAACUAUUUGGGUAAAAAAUGUGGUACAGUUUUGUUUUAACUAAACAGCCAAAUUGUGUACGUUUCCAUGAUUUUAAAACUAAUGGAAAUACGGGGGUGUAGCACCAUCUAGUUUUACUUGCAUCAACAAGUGUAAAUAAAAGAGAUUGGUUUGGACUUCAGAUUAUAA